GGUUUCAUACGAUCACCGAAGUUAAGCCAACGUUGUGCCUGGUCAGUACCUUGAUGGGUGACCGCUUGGGCGUACCAGAUGUUGUAAG
Non-coding RNA from Acanthosepion pharaonis, 88 nucleotides. The record is from the annotation of a GenBank genome assembly. NCBI's taxonomy places the organism in Eukaryota, Metazoa, Mollusca, Cephalopoda, Sepiida, Sepiidae.